RNAcentral lists this ribosomal RNA (594 nucleotides) under Rhodotorula kratochvilovae. Its description in RNAcentral is "eukaryotic LSU rRNA". It matches the Rfam family "Eukaryotic large subunit ribosomal RNA", at positions 67 to 664 of the family's 3401-position model. The record is from RNAcentral. Lineage: Eukaryota; Fungi; Basidiomycota; Microbotryomycetes; Sporidiobolales; Sporidiobolaceae.
AACAAGGGCAUGCCCUAGUAGCGGCGAGCGAAGCGGGAAGAGCUCAAAUUUAUAAUCUGGCACCUUCGGUGUCCGAGUUGUAAUCUCUAGAAGUGUUUUCCGCGUUGGACCGCACACAAGUCUGUUGGAAUACAGCGGCACAGUGGUGAUACCCCCGUACACGGUGCGGACGCCCAGCGCUUUGUGAUACACUUUCAAUGAGUCGAGUUGUUUGGGAAUGCAGCUCAAAUUGGGUGGUAAAUUCCAUCUAAAGCUAAAUAUUGGCGAGAGACCGAUAGCGAACAAGUACCGUGAGGGAAAGAUGAAAAGCACUUUGGAAAGAGAGUUAACAGUACGUGAAAUUGUUGGAAGGGAAACGCUUGAAGUCAGACUUGCUUGCCGGAGCUUGCUUCGGUUUGCAGGCCAGCAUCAGUUUUCCGGGGUGGAUAAUGGUGGUUUGAAGGUAGCAGCCUCGGCUGUGUUAUAGCUUUCCACUGGAUACAUCCUGGGGGACUGAGGAACGCAGCGUGCUUUUUGCGAAGGUUUCGACCUUUUCACGCUUAGGAUGCUGGUGUAAUGACUUUAAACGACCCGUCUUGACACACGGGACCAAAA